Molecule: long non-coding RNA, 250 nt
Filed under: Elaeis guineensis (African oil palm)
Lineage: Eukaryota; Viridiplantae; Streptophyta; Magnoliopsida; Arecales; Arecaceae
Description: long non-coding RNA (EGUI_LNC005052)
Source: RNAcentral
CAACUAGAUCAAAACUGUGUAGAUCUGCCCAAAACCAUGAGAUUGUGUUUUUCUCUCCUUUUCUCUCUUUUUCUCUUUUCAAGUGGCUGAACACUCUCUCUCAAAAUUUGGACAAUAAAAGUCAUAUUUAUAUGAUUCAUACUAGGCUUAAGUAUGGGCCAUAUCCACAAAUAGACUUCAACCAAAAUAAAUUAAACUUUGAAUUUUUCUCUACAUAGGAAGGAAACUGAAAAGCCCAACACAUCUCCAG